CAUGCAAGUCGAACGAUGAACCACUUCGGUGGGGAUUAGUGGCGAACGGGUGAGUAACACGUGGGCAAUCUGCCCUUCACUCUGGGACAAGCCCUGGAAACGGGGUCUAAUACCGGAUAACACUUCCAUCCUCCUGGGUGGAGGUUAAAAGCUCCGGCGGUGAAGGAUGAGCCCGCGGCCUAUCAGCUUGUUGGUGAGGUAAUGGCUCACCAAGGCGACGACGGGUAGCCGGCCUGAGAGGGCGACCGGCCACACUGGGACUGAGACACAGCCCAGACUCCUACGGGAGGCAGCAGUGGGGAAUAUUGCACAAUGGGCGAAAGCCUGAUGCAGCGACGCCGCGUGAGGGAUGACGGCCUUCGGGUUGUAAACCUCUUUCAGCAGGGAAGAAGCGAAAGUGACGGUACCUGCAGAAGAAGCGCCGGCUAACUACGUGCCAGCAGCCGCGGUAAUACGUAGGGCGCAAGCGUUGUCCGGAAUUAUUGGGCGUAAAGAGCUCGUAGGCGGUCUGUCGCGUCUGGUGUGAAAUCCCAUGGCUCAACUGUGGGCUUGCAUCGGGUACGGGCAGACUAGAGUGCUGUAGGGGAGACUGGAAUUCCUGGUGUAGCGGUGGAAUGCGCAGAUAUCANGAGGAACACCGAUGGCGAAGGCAGGUCUCUGGGCAGUUACUGACGCUGA
This 678-nucleotide ribosomal RNA is filed under the name uncultured bacterium. RNAcentral describes it as "bacterial SSU rRNA". It matches the Rfam family "Bacterial small subunit ribosomal RNA", at positions 54 to 749 of the family's 1533-position model. The record is from RNAcentral.